CAAAAACCACAGGGGGGGGGAAAUACAAGACCGCUCACCGCGGUAACUACUCACAACUACGCAUAGAGCUUAGGCAGCAACAGCGACCGCGUCUACCAAUUCCUACGUAAUAUGACGCGUUUGACGUAUCACAUAAAAAAACAACGGUUUUUGAAGCCUUGCUCAAAAUAGUCACUUUAAAACUGGAUUUUUUGCCGAUAUACUUUUUUAAACUGAUAAAAUCCUGCAUUUUGAUUUCAAAGGGCAAUUUUCAGAGAAUGUUAUGCAUAAAUAUUUUUAAAAACAUUAACUUCCAAUACGCACUUUAAAGAGAUACUUCACCGGAGGAGAUAAGGUUAUAUGAAGUAAAUAAUUAUAUGUAUUAUAAAUGUGAAAAAAAAUAGCCUGAGAAAAGGCAGAAAGUGUCUCUCUGGCUCAAAAGUAGGAAAUCCUCCAACUAGGACCCAUGGUCCUAGCGCGAGUGUUGGCGCAAGUUUUGUGUAAACAAAUCCCUGUGAUACGUUGACUAGUUUCGACCUCUGCUCUCGUUUUUUCAAACGCAAUAAUGCCCAGUGGUUGUUUGGUACCCGGUUGCACCGAAAAGUCUGGGAUGGGACAGAGAGUAAGUUUUCACGUUUUUCCAGUGAAAGACGAUCAGCGUUGCCAACUAUGGCUGCGGGCGAACAACCCCACAAUUGGAGAAGACGCCGGUAUGGAAAUUAUAAAAGGAAAAACGAUAUGCAGUCUCCAUUUCAAACUGGAGGAUUAUGAUGUAAAUCUUUUCAGAAUGAUGAGGCACGCUCUCUGUGGUGUUCCCAACACAGAUGUUAUACAGUAGUUGUAUCAGUUUGCAGGUUUCCCAAUGUGAUUGGUUGGCAUUAGGUGGCGUGCUCCUAUUGGUUGUGGAAAAGUCAUUUUUAGCUCUGUUAAACUACUAUGGGAAGUUUAUCCCUAAUCUAUCUACUCUGAUUCAGCCAAUGACAGCAUUGUUGCAUAAAGAUGCAACCUGGGAAUGGUCAGAGAAAUGUCAAAGUGCAUUUGAAAGUGCAAAGACGUCUCUUCAGUCAGAUAAAUUGUUAGUACAUUUUGAUUCAGAUUUACAAAUCAUACUAGCAUGUGAUGCUUCUCCUUAUGGGGUAGGGGCUGUAAUCAGCCAAAAAAUGAAAGAUGGAAGCGAGAGACCUAUUGCAUUUGCAUCGAGAAUGCUAACGAAAACAGAACAGAAUUACUGUCAACUGGAAAAAGAGGGACUGGGUCUUGUAUUUGGAGUUAUGAAAUUCCAUGAUUAUUUUUAUGGAAGGAAAUUCCUGUUAUUGACAGACCACAAGCCGCUGUUGAAAAUUUUGGGGCCUAAGACAGGUGUGCCAACCCUGGCCACUGCUAGAUUACAAAGAUGGGCUCUAAAUUUGGCAGCGUAUACAUACGAAAUCCAAUGUAAGAAGUCAGAGCAGCAUAGCAAUGCUGAUGCUUAUCAAGAUUACCUGUGAAGCCUGAGGUAGAUGUGGUGUCAAACCCAAUUUACAGAGUGUCUUACUUGGAAUAAUUACCUCUUACUGCUAGAGAAUUAGCCAAAGAAACAGACAGAGAUCCUGUGUUAAGAGUGGUUAAACAGUUGGUGUUAACUGGGUGGCCUAAACAUGUACAGGAUGAGUCACUGAAGCCUUACUUUCAGAGAAAAUUAGAGCUUAGCAUUGAGGAUGAUUGUUUAUUAUGGGGUUACCGUGUGGUAGUGCCUGAUAAACGGAGAGACAGGUUAUUGUCUGAAUUACAUGAGCACCACUGGGGAAUAGUUAAAAUGAAAUCCCUCGCCACCAGAAUUCUGGUGGCCUACAUUAGAUGACAGUAAUAAACGUGAAGUGAAUCGGUGUACUAUUUGUCAGCAGCAGCGUAGUAUGGCUGCUACAGCACCAGUCCAUACAUGGAAAUGGUGUUCGAGUCCAUGGAAAAGGGUACAUCUUGAUUUUGCUGAGGACCACAAACAGAUGUUUUUAGUAGUGAUGGGUGCCUAUGCUAGAUGGCCAGAGAUAGUUGCCAUGAACACUACUACAUCAUCUAAGACGAUUGAAGCACUGAGGAAUUUAUUCGCAGCUUAUGGGUUGCCUAAAGAGGUUUUAACUGGUAACGAACCUCAGUUCGUAUCGCAAGAGUUUGAGUCAUUUUUUACUAUCAAUGGAGUAAAACACAUCAAAUCACCUGCUUACCAUCCUGCAAGUAAUGGUUUAGCUGAAAGAUUGGUUCAGAAUCUUAAGAAAUCCCUUGCAAAGAAUAGAGCCAUUGGUGGUAUGACACUUGAGCACUGUGUAGCGAACUUUCUGAUUGGGUACAGAAACACACCCCAUACUAAGACAGAGAAAACGCCAGCUGAGCUCUUUCUGAGAAGACAGGUGCGAACCAGGUUGUCACUUAUCAAACCAGAGUUCUCUCAGAGAAUGCAGACUGAGUCUGAACCAAAUCUUCCCCGUGUUAGGUUUUUCAAGGUUGGUCAACAAGUGUUGGUAAAGAAUUACAGGGGAGGGGAGAAAUGGUUGAAUGGAGUUGUACGUGAAGUGUUGGUUCCUGUCACAUACAGUGUUGAGGUUAAGGGAAAGUGUUUGAAAAGUCAUGUGAACCAGAUUUUGGGUGUCAAGGGAAAUCCAAAUCAUUCGACUCAAAUGGACUCUUGUGAUUCUUACAACAUUUAUGAUUUCAAUGUGGACACUGAUUCGUCAGAUCGACGACCUUUGGAACCACCCCCGCCAGUGGUGGAACGGAAUACUCUGUCCUCUGUCCUGUGAGAGACAGACGUCCUCCUGAUAGACUGAACUUGUGAAUCAAAUGCAGAUUGGUUGAAAAAAAAAAAUGGAAUCUGUAAUGUAUAAUGUAAAAAAAAAAAAAGAAGAAGUUUGAAUUUACAGGGGAGGACCUGUGGUGUUCCCAACACAGAAUGUUAUACAGUAGUUGUAUCAGUUUGCAGGUUUCCCAAUGUGAUUGGUUGGCAUUAGGUGCCGGGCUCCUAUUGGUUGUUCAUAUAGGUAUAUUAGGCAGAAUCGCCACAAGAGGGUUCUCUUGGUACUCUGCUCGACCUAGAUAACACGCGCUGGUUGUUACCGUGGAUUUCAAAUAAAAGAUUGGAUUCAUUCAUCAGUCUGCCAUGUGCCCGUCAACUUCUUCUUAAACAGUUUUAGAACUAUAUAGUGACUGAAACACAACACUCUCAAACCAACUGCUGUUCCGUCCGUCUUCGCUGCCCGUUCCCAGAUGACAAACAGGUCGGGACUUCUGAUGCACCUCCCGCAGCAAAACACACUCGCCUACAGUGUAGAACAGGAGGAUGGAAAGAAGCUACACUUGACAGGGGAUGACCGGUGAACACGCCAGGUUUCAGUGCCAAAUACUGCCAUUACACCCUCAUGUUGGACGACACCAAGGAGAUUAUGCACACAAAACUGCUGCAGGUAAAUAAAAGAUUAACACUGGAAAAUAAAAAAAUUCUAGCCUACAGAAUCCGCCAGCUCUGUUGCUAUCGAACCAACCGGUUUCAAAAGGGGCAUGAAGGAGAUCAUGGGUGAUGGCUUGGAUAUUGAGGUGAUAACCACGGAACGCUCCACAUCGAUACGUAAGAUCAUGAGGGAAGAAUUCCCCAAUGUCCAGCAUGAGUUUGACAUCUGGCAUGCAGCGAAAGGUUUCAGGAAGAAGAUACAGAAAAGGAAAAAUGAAAUAUUCAGAAUUGUGGUUCCUGAUUCUUGACGGACAACCCAACCAACCCCCAAACGCUCUGCGCCAGUUGUAAACUAGCAACGACACAUGCGCCAGUGACUAAGUCACUUGCGCCGGAUGCAAGAUAGGGACCCAUGUGUGUAAUGAGCAUGAAUGGACAAAUGAUGACGGACAAACAAACCGGUGUGGACAUCGACCUAUAGCAGCCCAGGAGCAAAUCAAGCGCCAAUGGAUGAAGAGGGAGUCUUCGGCGUUCCAAAUUCUCGAAUCGCAGGUCAAUGACAAAAGGCUGUUGAAAGACAUGGAACAGAUGGCCCUGUUCAAACA
Molecule: long non-coding RNA, 4002 nt
Organism: Gadus chalcogrammus (walleye pollock)
Lineage: Eukaryota; Metazoa; Chordata; Actinopteri; Gadiformes; Gadidae
Exons: 4
Source: RefSeq, a predicted model, not a curated record